UACGUAGGGUGCAAGCGUUAAUCGGAAUUGCUGGGCGUAAAGCGUGCGCAGGCGGUUUUGUAAGUCUGUCGUGAAAGCCCCGGGCUCAACCUGGGAAUUGCGAUGGAGACUGCAAGGCUUGAAUCUGGCAGAGGGGGGUAGAAUUCCACGUGUAGCAGUGAAAUGCGUAAAGAUGUGGAGGAACACCGAUGGCGAAGGCAGCCCCCUGGGUCAAGAUUGACGCUCAUGCACGAAAGCGUGGGGAGCAAACAGG
This 253-nucleotide ribosomal RNA is filed under the name uncultured bacterium. RNAcentral describes it as "partial 16S ribosomal RNA". It matches the Rfam family "Bacterial small subunit ribosomal RNA", at positions 524 to 776 of the family's 1533-position model. The record is from RNAcentral.